UCAUCCUUACUCCCAGUUACAAGUCUUCAAGGAUGUGGGUUUUGGCAGUGUUAGGAGCCAUAUUACGUAAUAUUGCAAGAGUUCAGGUCCGACAAGGGAGCUACCUCUCAAUUAUGAUCAACAUGCUCUUCCUGUAGAAGUUUUAAAAAUAGUUUACACAUUAAAAGAUGAGGGACCAGGAGUUGUAAGUAUGGAUAUUGUGGAUGUUAAUUAUCCAAGAUGGAAGCU
Molecule: long non-coding RNA, 228 nt
Filed under: Helianthus annuus (common sunflower)
Lineage: Eukaryota; Viridiplantae; Streptophyta; Magnoliopsida; Asterales; Asteraceae
Description: hypothetical non coding rna
Source: RNAcentral